This 888-nucleotide ribosomal RNA is filed under the name Staphylococcus aureus. RNAcentral describes it as "partial 23S ribosomal RNA". It matches the Rfam family "Bacterial large subunit ribosomal RNA", at positions 12 to 897 of the family's 2925-position model. Lineage: Bacteria; Bacillati; Bacillota; Bacilli; Caryophanales; Staphylococcaceae. The record is from RNAcentral.
UAAGGGCGCACGGUGGAUGCCUUGGCACUAGAAGCCGAUGAAGGACGUUACUAACGACGAUAUGCUUUGGGGAGCUGUAAGUAAGCUUUGAUCCAGAGAUUUCCGAAUGGGGAAACCCAGCAUGAGUUAUGUCAUGUUAUCGAUAUGUGAAUACAUAGCAUAUCAGAAGGCACACCCGGAGAACUGAAACAUCUUAGUACCCGGAGGAAGAGAAAGAAAAUUCGAUUCCCUUAGUAGCGGCGAGCGAAACGGGAAGAGCCCAAACCAACAAGCUUGCUUGUUGGGGUUGUAGGACACUCUGUACGGAGUUACAAAGGACGACAUUAGACGAAUCAUCUGGAAAGAUGAAUCAAAGAAGGUAAUAAUCCUGUAGUCGAAAAUGUUGUCUCUCUUGAGUGGAUCCUGAGUACGACGGAGCACGUGAAAUUCCGUCGGAAUCUGGGAGGACCAUCUCCUAAGGCUAAAUACUCUCUAGUGACCGAUAGUGAACCAGUACCGUGAGGGAAAGGUGAAAAGCACCCCGGAAGGGGAGUGAAAUAGAACCUGAAACCGUGUGCUUACAAGUAGUCAGAGCCCGUUAAUGGGUGAUGGCGUGCCUUUUGUAGAAUGAACCGGCGAGUUACGAUUUGAUGCAAGGUUAAGCAGUAAAUGUGGAGCCGUAGCGAAAGCGAGUCUGAAUAGGGCGUUUAGUAUUUGGUCGUAGACCCGAAACCAGGUGAUCUACCCUUGGUCAGGUUGAAGUUCAGGUAACACUGAAUGGAGGACCGAACCGACUUACGUUGAAAAGUGAGCGGAUGAACUGAGGGUAGCGGAGAAAUUCCAAUCGAACCUGGAGAUAGCUGGUUCUCUCCGAAAUAGCUUUAGGGCUAGCCUCAAGUGAUGAUUAUU